GGCUUUGUGGCCAAGUGGUAAGGCGUCCGCCUCCUAUUUAGUUUUGGAACCAGCGGAAGAUCGAGGGUUCGAUCCCCUCCAGAGUCG
Molecule: transfer RNA, 87 nt
Filed under: Penicillium steckii
Lineage: Eukaryota; Fungi; Ascomycota; Eurotiomycetes; Eurotiales; Aspergillaceae
Rfam family: tRNA
About the family: Transfer RNA (tRNA) molecules are approximately 80 nucleotides in length. Their secondary structure includes four short double-helical elements and three loops (D, anti-codon, and T loops).
Source: Rfam by way of RNAcentral